Molecule: RNA transcript, 7007 nt
Organism: Malania oleifera
Lineage: Eukaryota; Viridiplantae; Streptophyta; Magnoliopsida; Santalales; Ximeniaceae
Gene name: E3 ubiquitin-protein ligase PRT6
Exons: 18
Source: RefSeq, a predicted model, not a curated record
AAAUUAACAUGCCAUUCAACCCCCUCUCUCUCUGUCUGUCUCUGCGGUGGCGUGCGUGGCUGCCGCUAGUCAAAAAUAAUAGGGGUCGCGACAUUGCGGACACUUGAGAGUUUAAAUAAUUAGAGGGGCUGGUGUAUUUCACAACUGCGCCUCAAUCUGCGCUGUGCUUCUUGUACAACUACCUUCGUUUCUUCAACACAAAAGAGCCCUGGGGAGUGACACCUCUCCGUCCCGAUUCUGUUGUUGCGCCGAUUGGCUGCUGCGAUACAUGUCUGAUAUGGAUGUCGAUUCUCCCUCCGAGUUCAGUUCCCCUUCACCUCGGGAUCGAAUUAUACGGAGGCUUGCUCAACAAGGGUUUCCUAUGGAGGGACUUGAUCAACUCCAGCUCGGUUUAGUUGUCUAUGUCAAGAAUAACAAGUUCCGGAUGCCAGAGCUUGUGUCUGCCAUCUUACAGGUUGAUGAGGAUGUGAUGGAGGCCAUUCAGGCCAAGUCUGAUUCUGAAAAUGAUCCAGUUUACCCAGGCCUGAGAGCUAUUCUUCAUGAAAGCAUGGUUUGGUUGCAGUGGUUGAUGUUUGAGGGUGAACCCAGGGUUGCCCUAAAGGGUCUCUCUGACAUAAGUGUGGGUCAGCGUGGUGUUUGCGGGGCUGUUUGGGGUAACAACGAUCUGGCAUAUCGUUGUCGAACGUGUGGGCAUGAUCCAACUUGUGCAAUUUGUGUUCCUUGUUUCCAGAAUGGGAACCACAAGGGCCAUGACUAUUCUAUCAUCUAUACAGGCGGUGGUUGCUGUGAUUGUGGGGAUGUAACUGCAUGGAAACGUGAAGGCUUUUGUUCAAAGCACAGGGGUGUGGAGCAGAUACAACCUCUCUCAGAGGAGUACACAAAAUCCAUGGGGCCUGUUCUUGAUGCUCUUCUUAUCUGUUGGAGGAACAAACUGUUGUUUGCAGAAACUCUCUCUGAGGAACUUGGAGUAAAUAAUUGUUAUGAGCAUAGGGAAGUUGCAGAUGAGCUAGCUUUUGUGAUCAUUGAGAUGCUUCUUGAGUUUUGCCACUACAGUGAAAGCUUGCUAAGCUUUGUUGCUAGGAAGGUGUUCUCAACAGUUGGUUUAUUGGAUCUUCUGGUUAAGGCCGAGGAAUAUUUGGGAAAAGAUGCUGUUAAUAAGCUUCAUGAGUUGCUCUUGAAAUUGCUGGGUGAACCUGCCUUUAAGUACGAGUUUGCAAAAGCAUUUAUAAGUUAUUACCCAAUUUUUGUGAAUAAAGUGUGCAAGGAUAUCUCACUCAAAGAUAAUCUGCUAUUAUCUACAUUCUCUGUGCAAAUUUUCACAGUGCAAACUUUAACGCCAUGUCUUGUUGAGGAGAUGAAUCUAUUGGAAAUGCUAUUGGGAUGCUUGGAAGACAUUUUCAUUUCAUGUGCCGGUGAAGAUGGUCGAUUACAGGCUAGUAAAUCAGGGAAUUUGUAUGAAACCAUUGUUCGGGUUGUUGGAGAUAUUCAAUUUGUUCUAAGCCAUGAUGAAGUAAUCAAAUAUGUGAUCCUUGACCACCGACAUAUCUUAAGAAGUUGGAUGAGACUCUUGGCUUUUGUGCAAGGGAUGAAUCCUCAAAAGAGGGAAACAGGCAUCCAUGUUGAAGAAGAAAAUGAGAAUACAUCUUUUCCAUUUGGUUUAUGUCUCUCUUUUGCAACCAUCCAUUCGUUGUUGGUGGCUGGGGCAUUUUCUGUAUCUACUACUGAAGAGGACAGUUCAACUCCUUUGACCAUUAAUGAACGAGAUUUGGAUGAUAAAGAUAGCAUAAGACAUGCAAAAGUUGGGCGGCUUUCCCAGGAAAGCUCUGUGUGUAGUACUGCAGGGAGUAGCAUCUUGGGGUGUACAGUGAAGACUGCUGAAUCGAAAUCAGAAACUGUUUCACAUCUUCCGAUCCCAUCGACUGUCAUAUGGUUGAUAUUUGAGUGCUUGAGGGCUCUUGAAAAUUGGUUGGGUGGGGAUAAGAAUCUGCUUACUAUGGUAUCUCCAAAUAUUAAUAACACAUGUUCUAGUAAUUUCUUAGCACUGAAGAAAACAUUAUCAAAAAUUAGGAAGGGAAAAUAUAUAUUUAAACUUACUGGUUCAAGUAAAUCUCAGAGUAUGAAAUGUUCUUCACCUCACAGUGGUUCGAAUAUGAGUUGUGACAUGGAGAAUGGGCAAUGCACAGCACAGGACAGUAAAUCAAUUAAUACCAAUAUGGAUAAUGCUAGUAAUCCUUAUGGUGAUCCUGCAGGUUUUGAUGGUAGUGCUACAGAAGGGGAAUAUGGCAUUGACUUAGAUGCUUUGCAUGUUCUAAGUUUGUCAUAUUGGCCUGAUAUAACUUAUGAUGUUAGUUCACAGGACAUAUCAGUGCACAUCCCUUUACAUCGAUUACUUUCAUUGUUUCUACAAAAAGCAUUGAGAAAUUGUUAUGGUGAAUCUGCAUUGCCAGAUGUGAGUAGUGCUAGUUGUGCUAAUCCAGUGUCAGCAAUGCACUGUGACUUCUUUGGACAUGCUCUUGUAGGCUGCCAUCCAAAUGGGUUUUCGGCCUUUGUUAUGGAGCAUCCUCUGCGAAAUAGGGUAUUUUGUGCUGAGGUUCAUGCUGGCAUGUGGCGGAAGAAUGGGGAUUCUGUCCUGUUGUCUUGUGGAUCAUAUCGUUCAGUUCGUUGGGGUGGACAAGAUUUAGAGCUUGAUCUAUUUCUGCUGCAGUGCUGUGCUGCGUUGGCCCCAGCUGAUUUUUAUGCCACUAGGAUUUUAGAACGAUUUGGGUUAUCGUGCUACCUUUCUCUGAAUCCUGAAUUUUCCAGUGAGUAUGAACCAGUUUUAGUGCAGGAAAUGCUUAUUCUUCUCAUCCAAAUAGUUAAAGAAAGGGGAUUUUGUGGAUUAACUACAGCUGAAAGUUUGAAGAGGGAGUUGGUUUAUAGGCUAUCGAUUGGAGAUGCAACUCAUAGUCAGUUGAUGAAAUUCCUCCCUCGUGAUCUAUCCAAAAGUGAUCAACUUACUGAAAUUUUGAGUACUGUUGCACUGUAUUCCAAUCCCUCUGGCAUGAAGCAGGGGAUGUAUUCACUGCAGUGGAAUUUUUGGAAAGAACUGGAUUUAUACCAUCCCCGUUGGAAUUCAAGGGACUUGCAAGUUGCAGAGGAAAGAUAUUUGCGCUUCUGUAGUGUUUCUCCAUUAACCACUCAGCUUCCAAAAUGGACAAAAAUUUAUCCUCCUCUUAAAGGAGUAGCUCGAGUAGCUACGUGUAGAACUGUCUUUCAAAUUAUCCGUUCUGUGAUAUAUUAUGCUGUUAUUUCUGUGAUUGCUGAUAAAUUUACGAUAUCACGGGCUCCUGAUACAGUUCUUCUUACAGCAUUGCACUUACUUGCUCUAGCACUAGACAUUUGUGCUCUUCAGAAGAAUGUUAAUGGCACUUCAUGUUUCGUUGAGGAUGCAAUUCCCAUGCUAGCAUUUGCUGUUGAAGAGAUUGGUGAGGGAGUAAAUAAUAUAUCUAGUGACCAAUGUUUGUUGUCCCUUCUUGUUUCAUUGAUGAGGUUGCGUAAGGAUGAAGAUGUAGGUUACCAUAUGGAAGCAGGAAGUUGCAAUAUAUCUUCUUUAAUUGAAAGUUUGUUGAAGAAGUUCGCUGAGGUUGAUUCCAGAUGCAUGACAAAACUGCAGAAACUAGCACCUGAAGUGGUCAAUCAUUUAGUUCAAUCCUUUCCAAACAGUGAUACAAAUAUUUUGGGGUCUGCUUCUGAUGGUGAGAAGCGCAAGGCAAAAGCACGAGAGAGACAGGCUGCUAUAUUGGAAAAAAUGAAGGCUGAGCAAUCCAAAUUUUUGGAGAGUAUUAAGUCCUCUUCUGAUGAUGGGUUGAAUUGUCCUGUACCAGAUCAAAAAGUAUGUGAAUCUGAUGAUGGAAAUGAUUCGGAAGAGUCUGUACAGGAUGUUUGCUCUCUUUGCCGUGAUCCUAAUUCUAGAAGUUCUGUAUCUUACCUGAUUCUUCUUGAGAAAUCGAAGCUAUUGAGUUUUGUGGACAGAGGUCCCCCAUCAUGGGAGCAAGUUCACCAGCCAAACAGGAUGCGUUCUACAAGUUCCACAAACAAGAUAGUUGAUCAAUCUGAAAGUAGCACUUUCUUUGGCAGUUCAGGAAUGAUUUUAUCUUCCGAGUUGGUUCAGAAAGCUCUGAAUGAGUUAGCCUCCGGUGGACAACCAGGCGAUGUGAAUGCCUUUCUAGAGUUCAUCCGGACUCGUUAUCCUGCAUUGAGAAAUAUUCAAAAGCCUUGCGGAUCCAGUAAAAAAAGGGAGGGUAUUGCAUAUUCCUUUGAGAUAGUAGAAGAAGAUAUGUACUUCUCUAUUCAAAGUGAAAUGCAGGAUAAUUUAAAUAUUGCAGAAGAUGAAAAAAAAUUUUCAAUUGCUGAACUGUGUACAAGAAACAGCAGGAAUACUGAAUCCAUUUUGCUUGGAAAAUAUAUGGCUGCUAUUUCAAGAGAGAUGAUGGAAAAUUGCUUGGGUUCUCAGACUUCCCAUAAAAAAGAUAAUAGUUCACCAUCAGAAAUUUCUGCACCAUUUCCAUCAUAUGAUGGCUUUGGCCCCUGUUCCUCUGAUGGAGUUUUUAUUUCUUCCUGUGGGCAUGCUGUGCAUCAGGGAUGUCUUGAUCGUUAUUUAUCUUCCCUGAAGGAAAGAUAUAGUAGAAGAAUUUCGUUUGAAGGAGGGCAUAUUGUUGAUCCAGAUAAGGGUGAAUUCCUUUGUCCUGUAUGCCGUCGUUUUGCAAAUUCAGUCUUGCCUGGAUUACCUGGGGGUUCUCAGAAGAUUUGGAAGAAGCCUAAAAUUUUGAGCAGCACUUCAAAACAAUUUUCAGGUGGUUUGGACUUAUUUAGCCAGGGAAAUGUUUUACUUAAGCUUCGGAAAGCAUUGUCUCUCUUGCAAAGUGCGGCCAAUGUAAUUGGGAAGGAUGAGAUAUAUAAAACUUUUCCUAUGCGUAGAAGUGGAAGGGUAAAUCCAAACCUUGAGCCUUUCUUUCGUGUACUCUGUGGAAUGUAUUUUACCGGCAAAGAGGAUAAAUUGUCACAAUCAGCAAGGGUUAGCCAGACAAUGAUUAUGUGGGACACACUCAAAUAUUCCCUCAUAUCAAUGGAAGUUGCUGCUCGUUCUUCGAAGAUUCAAUUGACCCCUACAUAUGACCUUAAUGCCUUGUAUAAAGGACUUGAGUCUUCAAAUGGAUUUAUACUAUCAUUGUUGCUAAAAACUGUGCAGCGUAUGCGUAGUAAGAACAUUAUCCACGUGCUUCAAAGAUUUAUAGGUAUUCAGAUGUUUGCGGAAUCUAUUUGCUCUGUGACUUAUAUGGAUGAACCUCCUAGUGGUGUUUGUAGACAUGGAGAUAAUAUGCUACGUAUCCUGAAUUAUGAUGAAAUGGAAAUACCAUACCCUGACAUUCAAUUUUGGAAGCGAGCUUCUGAUCCUGUCCUUUCUCACGACCCAUUUUCAUCACUGAUGUGGGUCCUAUUCUGUUUACCAUAUCCAUUUCUUUCAUGCGAGGAGUCAGUCUCAUGUCUUGUCCAUUUAUUCUAUGCUGUCUCUGUAGCCCAGGCCAUAAUCACAUAUUGCUGUAAAUAUCCAUCCAAGAUAAGUGAAUUAGGUUUUCAAGAUUGCUUGAUUACUGACAUUUGCAAAGUUUUGGGAGAGGGUGGAAUUGCUCAGCAAUAUUUUGUUUCAAGUUACAUCAGCCCUUCUGAUAAUAUUAAGGAUAUAAUUCGCAGCUUGAGUUUCCCAUAUCUGCGAAGGUGUGCAUUGCUGUGCAAACUAGUAAGCUUAUCCACUUCAGCACCUUUCUGUGAUGCUGCUACUGUGUCAGAAGGCUUUUCUAGUGCCAUAGAUGCCAUGAUGGAUAAUGCAAAUGGGAUCAUGGUGGAGUUAACUGAAGUUGAAAAGUUGGAGAGCAUGUUUAAGAUUCCUGCACUUGAUGUUGUUUUGAAGGAUGAAGUACUACGUUCCUCAGUCAUGCAAUGGUUCCGUCAUUUCCGCAAGGAAUUUGAAGUUCAUGGUCCUGAGUGUGUCCUAUAUUCCACUCCUGCAGUUCCAUUUAAGUUGAUGCAGCUGCCUCAUGUCUACCAGGAUAUCUUGGAGAGGUAUAUAAAACAGAGAUGCCCUGACUGUGAGCCUGCAUUAUGCCUGUUGUGUGGGAGAUUAUGCUCAGCAAGCUUGAAGCCAUGCUGCAGGGAAAGUGGGUGCCAAACUCAUGCAAUGGCCUGUGGCUCCGGUACAGGAGUAUUCCUCUUGAUUAGAAAAACAACAGUUCUUCUUCAAAGAUCUGGACGUCGGGCCCCUUGGCCUUCUCCCUACUUGGAUGCAUUUGGCGAAGAGGACAUUGAAAUGCUGAGAGGGAAACCACUAUAUUUGAAUGAGGAACGCUAUGCAGCUCUAACUCACAUGGUGGCGUCUCAUGGCCUUGAUCAAAGUUCUAAGGUUCUUGGUCAAACUACUAUUGGUGCUUUCUUCAUGAUUUAGUUUGGAAUUUCUUUUUAGGAGUCUCUUGGAAAGUUAAUAGAGAAUUUAGAAACUGAUUGAUGUGAAGAGAUGAGAAAUGGUUCUUCAAAUGCCAAGAUCAUGAAAAAAAUUGAUUGUAUCUUCAAGUUGCUGCAGUAUUGUAACUACCUCAGGCUUUAUUAUGGCAUGUCAUGGUUGGUUGCACCAUGUUUCAUUAAGGUACAUUUUUGCUGCCCAUGAGAGGAGGAUAUGACCUAGAUGGGAGAUUUGUUUGCUGGCAAUAGCUACCUCACUCACAUCCUCCAGGUUGUACAGUUCCUCAUUGUGCAUAAAUAAUGCUCGGUGUGCUUGUUAGGCCUGCGUCUGUGUUUGUUGUAUUAUUGAGUCUUCCAUCAAGCUGUUUUAACUUGUACGGCCAUUUCAGUUGGCUGCACUAGCUACUAGCUUGGCUUUGUUGUAUUACUGAAUCCUCCAUCAAACUGCUCAAUAUGUACAGCCAUUUCCAUGGGGAGCAAUUGUUUUAAUGGUCAAUAGCGUUUACUUUUCUUUU